Mauremys reevesii (Reeves's turtle) is the source of this 577-nucleotide long non-coding RNA. RefSeq lists it as uncharacterized. The record is from RefSeq and is a predicted model, not a curated record. Lineage: Eukaryota; Metazoa; Chordata; Testudines; Geoemydidae. The transcript has 4 exons.
ACCUUCAUGCCCGGGCCCGGCCGGGGAAGGGGCCAGUCGCCGGACGGGGUGGAGCUGAGGAAGGGCGGGAUCCAAUCAGAGCUCCAGGCUGCCGCUUUAUUUGCAUACAGGGGACCGGACGCCGGCCGGUGGGGAGACGUCGGAAGGAAGGCCGGCACCCCAGGUUGCCAGGCAAGGGAGAUGCAGCCCCUCACUGGUCUGGAUUGCAUCCCGGAAUGUCAUAAUAUCAUAAACCAAUUAGAGUCAGUAAUGUCAUUCCACUGUCUUCAGUGGAGUUUCUCCUGAUUUACAAGACUAUAAGUAAGAGGAGGAACAAGCCACCCUGGGAAGCCCCUACGGCAACAUGACCAACCAACUCCCUCACAUCAUAAGCUGUUUGCAUCAAGAGUGGCUUCAGCUACUGGCACAAGUGGGAGGUAUGAGAAAAUGAUGUGACUGUGCAAGGGAGAACACUGCUCUAGUAGAUGUGGGAUUCUCCCCAUUCUAAAACAGAGAGAAGAAUGAUGAUCAUUAUUAAUUAGGCUCUGUGUGAUGAAUUAUUGUACACAUUUGUAUUUAUUAUCCUGCUUUUUGCAUC